This 1341-nucleotide ribosomal RNA is filed under the name uncultured bacterium. RNAcentral describes it as "16S ribosomal RNA". It matches the Rfam family "Bacterial small subunit ribosomal RNA", at positions 28 to 1381 of the family's 1533-position model. The record is from RNAcentral.
GACGAACGCUGGCGGCGUGCUUAACACAUGCAAGUCGAACGGUAAGGCUCCAGCUUGCUGGGGUACACGAGUGGCGAACGGGUGAGUAACACGUGGGUGACCUGCCCUGCACUUCGGGAUAAGCCUGGGGAACUGGGUCUAAUACCGGAUAGGACCGCACCGUGAGGGUGUGGUGGAAAGUUUUUUCGGUGUGGGAUGGGCCCGCGGCCUAUCAGCUUGUUGGUGGGGUAAUGGCCUACCAAGGCGGCGACGGGUAGCCGGCCUGAGAGGGUGGACGGCCACAUUGGGACUGAGACACGGCCCAGACUCCUACGGGAGGCAGCAGUGGGGAAUAUUGCACAAUGGGCGGAAGCCUGAUGCAGCGACGCCGCGUGGGGGAUGACGGCCUUCGGGUUGUAAACUCCUUUCACCAUCGACGAAGGGUUUCUGACGGUAGAUGGAGAAGAAGCACCGGCUAACUACGUGCCAGCAGCCGCGGUAAUACGUAGGGUGCGAGCGUUGUCCGGAAUUACUGGGCGUAAAGAGCUCGUAGGUGGUUUGUCGCGUCGUCUGUGAAAUUCCGGGGCUUAACUCCGGGCGUGCAGGCGAUACGGGCAUAACUUGAGUACUGUAGGGGAGACUGGAAUUCCUGGUGUAGCGGUGAAAUGCGCAGAUAUCAGGAGGAACACCGGUGGCGAAGGCGGGUCUCUGGGCAGUAACUGACGCUGAGGAGCGAAAGCAUGGGGAGCGAACAGGAUUAGAUACCCUGGUAGUCCAUGCCGUAAACGGUGGGCGCUAGGUGUGGGUUUCCUUCCACGGGAUCCGUGCCGUAGCUAACGCAUUAAGCGCCCCGCCUGGGGAGUACGGCCGCAAGGCUAAAACUCAAAGGAAUUGACGGGGGCCCGCACAAGCGGCGGAGCAUGUGGAUUAAUUCGAUGCAACGCGAAGAACCUUACCUGGGCUUGACAUAUACAGGAUCGCGCCAGAGAUGGUGUUUCCCUUGUGGCUUGUAUACAGGUGGUGCAUGGUUGUCGUCAGCUCGUGUCGUGAGAUGUUGGGUUAAGUCCCGCAACGAGCGCAACCCUUGUCUUAUGUUGGCAGCACGUUGUGGUGGGGACUCGUAAGAAACUGCCGGGGUUAACUCGGAGGAAGGUGGGGAUGACGUCAAAUCAUCAUGCCCCUUAUGUCCAGGGCUUCACACAUGCUACAAUGGUCGGUACAGUGGGUUGCCAGUCCGUGAGGGCGAGCUAAUCCCGCAAAGCCGGUCUCAGUUCGGAUCGGGGUCCGCAACUCGACCCCGUGAAGUCGGAGUCGCUAGUAAUCGCAGAUCAGCAACGCUGCGGUGAAUACGUUCCCGGGCCU